Molecule: small RNA, 77 nt
Filed under: Debaryomyces hansenii
Lineage: Eukaryota; Fungi; Ascomycota; Pichiomycetes; Serinales; Debaryomycetaceae
Description: partial transfer-messenger RNA
Source: RNAcentral
UUUCUAAUAAAUAAUAAACGCUAAUCACAAUAAUAAAUGUGCCCAUUAAUUCCAGCCAUUGCAACUUUGCUGGCCUC